AAGACAGCAGGACGGUGGUCA
Molecule: small nuclear RNA, 21 nt
Filed under: Arabidopsis thaliana (thale cress)
Lineage: Eukaryota; Viridiplantae; Streptophyta; Magnoliopsida; Brassicales; Brassicaceae
Description: snRNA_15088
Source: RNAcentral